Molecule: long non-coding RNA, 1566 nt
Organism: Gadus morhua (Atlantic cod)
Lineage: Eukaryota; Metazoa; Chordata; Actinopteri; Gadiformes; Gadidae
Source: Ensembl
CCCGUCCUCCAUGAUACUCUGGAUCAGGACACACUACCUCUGUUAGUUAACCCCUAUCUUCUGGAUCAGGGCACACUACCUCUGUUAGUUAACCCCUAUCUUCUGGAUCAGGACACACUGCCUCUGUUAGUUAACCCCUAUCUUCUGGAUCAGGACACACUACCUCUGUUAGUUAACCCCUAUCUUCUGGAUCAGGGCACACUGCCUCUGUUAGUUAACCCCUAUCUUCUGGAUCAGGACACACUGCCUCUGUUAGUUAACCCCUAUCUUCUGGAUCAGGACACACUACCUCUGUUAGUUAACCCCUAUCUUCUGGAUCAGGACACACUACCUCUGUUAGUUAACCCCUAUCUUCUGGAUCAGGACACACUACCUCUGUUAGUUAACCCCUUUCUUCUGGAUCAGGACACACUACCUCUGUUAGUUAACCCCUAUCUUCUGGAUCAGGACACACUGCCUCUGUUAGUUAACCCCUAUCUUCUGGAUCAGUACACACUACCUCUGUUAGUUAACCCCUAUCUUCUGGAUCAGGGCACACUACCUCUGUUAGUUAACCCCUAUCUUCUGGAUCAGGACACACUACCUCUGUUAGUUAACCCCUAUCUUCUGGAUCAGGACACACUACCUCUGUUAGUUAACCCCUAUCUUCUGGAUCAGGGCACACUACCUCUGUUAGUUAACCCCUAUCUUCUGGAUCAGGACACACUACCUCUGUUAGUUAACCCCUAUCUUCUGGAUCAGGGCACACUACCUCUGUUAGUUAACCCCUAUCUUCUGGAUCAGGACACACUACCUCUGUUAGUUAACCCCUAUCUUCUGGAUCAGGGCACACUACCUCUGUUAGUUAACCCCUAUCUUCUGGAUCAGGACACACUACCUCUGUUAGUUAACCCCUAUCUUCUGGAUCAGGACACACUACCUCUGUUAGUUAACCCCUAUCUUCUGGAUCAGGGCACACUACCUCUGUUAGUUAACCCCUAUCUUCUGGAUCAGGACACACUGCCUCUGUUAGUUAACCCCUAUCUUCUGGAUCAGGACACACUACCUCUGUUAGUUAACCCCUAUCUUCUGGAUCAGGGCACACUACCUCUGUUAGUUAACCCCUAUCUUCUGGAUCAGGACACACUGCCUCUGUUAGUUAACCCCUAUCUUCUGGAUCAGGGCACACUACCUCUGUUAGUGCACCCCUAUCUUCUGGAUCAGGGCACACUACCUCUGUUAGUUAACCCCUAUCUUCUGGAUCAGGACACACUGCCUCUGUUAGUUAACCCCUAUCUUCUGGAUCAGGACACACUACCUCUGUUAGUUAACCCCUAUCUUCUGGAUCAGGGCACACUACCUCUGUUAGUUAACCCCUAUCUUCUGGAUCAGGACACACUGCCUCUGUUAGUUAACCCCUAUCUUCUGGAUCAGGACACACUACCUCUGUUAGUUAACCCCUAUCUUCUGGAUCAGGGCACACUACCUCUGUUAGUUAACCCCUAUCUUCUGGAUCAGGACAAACAACCUCUUACUCAACCCCUAUCUUCUGGAUCUUCUGGAUCACAGACACAGUACCUCCGUUAA